UACGUAGGGUGCGAGCGUUAAUCGGAAUUACUGGGCGUAAAGGGUGCGCAGGCGGUUUCGUAAGACAGCUGUGAAAUCCCCGGGCUUAACCUGGGAACUGCGGUUGUGACUGCGAGGCUAGAGUACGGCAGAGGGGGGUGGAAUUCCACGUGUAGCAGUGAAAUGCGUAGAUAUGUGGAGGAACACCAAUGGCGAAGGCAGCCCCCUGGGUCGAUACUGACGCUCAUGCACGAAAGCGUGGGGAG
This 245-nucleotide ribosomal RNA is filed under the name uncultured bacterium. Its description in RNAcentral is "partial 16S ribosomal RNA". It matches the Rfam family "Bacterial small subunit ribosomal RNA", at positions 524 to 768 of the family's 1533-position model. The record is from RNAcentral.